This 279-nucleotide ribosomal RNA is filed under the name Triticum aestivum (bread wheat). RNAcentral's name for it is "partial small subunit ribosomal RNA". The record is from RNAcentral. Lineage: Eukaryota; Viridiplantae; Streptophyta; Magnoliopsida; Poales; Poaceae.
AUGUCUUGCCGCGCCUACCAUUUUUGGAAUGUCCGAGGCCUUAACUCCGGCGCUAAGCGCACCGCCGUCCGCAGCGUGAUCUCCGCUGCCGCACCUACCAUAGUGUGUCUCCAAGAGACAAAGCUCGCGCAUGUCUCCGACGCCAUAGUUUUGGAAACGCUCGGUCCGUCCUUUGAGGACUUUUACUUCCUAGUUCCUCCCCGCGGAUGGCACACGCGAUGGUAUCCUCCUUGCUUGGCAACGAGCUACCAUCUCCCUCUCCAAUCCCCUCAUCGGUGA